AGUUCAGGGCCCUUGUGACCCUCAAGCCCCACCCCCCCGGCCACUCCCGCGCUCUUGAGUUACCCGGAUAAUCCCGCCCCCUCUUGAAAGUCGAACUGGUCACCUUGACCACGUUAAGGGGUGACACCACUGGGCAGGUAGGACAGGGUUUCGGUUUGUGCCGAGGACACGAGUGGCACAAGUCUCUGAAAUCAGUCAGUCUCUAAUAUAAAACGAAGGUUUCAGUCAAUCAGUCUCAGCAGAAGAUGCUUUCUUCACAUGUGAGCAGUGAAUCCAAGAGUCCUUUUCUCCAAUCUUUAUGGAUGUUGGAGUAGUUAACAAUAUUUGGAAUGGUCCUUCCCACGAAAGGAAAAAACCUCGUUCAUAAAAAAACAACACAAUCUCUAUGGCGACUUUAAGAAACCCUACCCCCUUGGAGUGAGCUGGCAUUCUGUAGACUGGGCUCCUGUAGUCCAAGAUGGCUACUAUCCAACCCUCACUCAAGCUGCCAGCAACAGAAGAUUCUGUAAGGUUGACCCCUUUUCUGGCUCAGCCAACUGUAAAAGGGAGGUUUGGGAGAUUAAAAAUAAAGGCUUUAUUCACUAUCUUAGGUGGUAUUUUAG
This is a long non-coding RNA of Monodelphis domestica (gray short-tailed opossum), 602 nucleotides long. RefSeq lists it as uncharacterized. The record is from RefSeq and is a predicted model, not a curated record. NCBI's taxonomy places the organism in Eukaryota, Metazoa, Chordata, Mammalia, Didelphimorphia, Didelphidae.